GUGCAAAGGUAGCAUAAUCAUUUGUCUAUUAAUUGUAGACCUGUAUGAAAGGCAAAAUGAGAGCCCAACUGUCUCUUAUAACAAAUCAAUUAAACUGAUCUCCUAGUACAAAAGCUAGAAUACCAACAUAAGACCAGAAGACCCUGUGAAGCUUUAACUAACCUAUUAAAUCCAAUAAUGGCUACUUUCGGUGGGGCGACCUUGGAAUAAAAAAGAACUUCCAAUAACAUGACUUCUCAUAAAAUAGGCAGACAAGCCACACUAGAUCCAGUAUUACUGACAAUUGAAAUAAGUUACUCCAGGGAUAACAGCGCUAUCUUCUUUAAGAGCCCAUAUCAAAAAGAAGGUUUACGACCUCGAUGUUGGAUCAGGGCACCCCAGUAAUGCACCCGUUACUAAAGGUUCG
This 406-nucleotide ribosomal RNA is filed under the name Bothriechis nigroviridis. RNAcentral's name for it is "partial 16S ribosomal RNA". It matches the Rfam family "Bacterial large subunit ribosomal RNA", at positions 1948 to 2575 of the family's 2925-position model. The record is from RNAcentral. Lineage: Eukaryota; Metazoa; Chordata; Lepidosauria; Squamata; Viperidae.